ACGCUGGCGGCGUGCCUAACACAUGCAAGUCGAACGGGGUUGAGCCCUUCGGGACUCAACUUAGUGGCGAACGGGUGAGUAACGCGUGAAGAACCUGCCUUCCAGUGGGGGACAACAGUUGGAAACGACUGCUAAUACCGCAUAAUACUUCCGAAAGGCAUCUUUGGAAGUCAAAGAUUUAUUGCUGAAGGAUGGGCUCAUGUCUGAUUAGCUAGUUGGUAGGGUAACGGCCUACCAAGGCGACGAUCAGUAGCCGGUCUGAGAGGAUGAACGGCCACACUGGGACUGAGAUACGGCCCAGACUCCUACGGGAGGCAGCAGUGGGGAAUAUUGGGCAAUGGGGGAAACCCUGACCCAGCAACGCCGCGUGAAGGAAGAAGGCCUUCGGGUUGUAAACUUCUUUUAGCAGGGACGAAGAACGUGACGGUACCUGCAGAAAAAGCAACGGCUAACUACGUG
This 459-nucleotide ribosomal RNA is filed under the name uncultured bacterium. Its description in RNAcentral is "bacterial SSU rRNA". It matches the Rfam family "Bacterial small subunit ribosomal RNA", at positions 33 to 507 of the family's 1533-position model. The record is from RNAcentral.